CCUACGGGCGGCAGCAGUGGGGAAUAUUGCACAAUGGAGGAAACUCUGAUGCAGCGACGCCGCGUGAGUGAAGAAGGUCUUCGGAUCGUAAAACUCUGUCCUUGGUGAAGAAAAAAAUGACGGUAGCCAAGGAGGAAGCCCCGGCUAACUACGUGCCAGCAGCCGCGGUAAUACGUAGGGGGCGAGCGUUGUCCGGAUUUACUGGGCGUAAAGGGUGAGUAGGCGGUUAUGUAUGUCAGGUGUAAAAGGCGUAGGCUUAACUUACGUUAGCACUUGAAACUGCAUAACUUGAGUGCAGGAGAGGUAAGUGGAAUUCCUAGUGUAGCGGUGAAAUGCGUAGAUAUUAGGAGGAACACCGGUGGCGAAGGCGAAUGUCUGGCCAUGUACUGACGCUGAGACGCGAAGGUGCGGGGAGCAAACAGGUUUAGAUACCCCAGUAGUC
This 442-nucleotide ribosomal RNA is filed under the name uncultured Sedimentibacter sp. RNAcentral describes it as "bacterial SSU rRNA". It matches the Rfam family "Bacterial small subunit ribosomal RNA", at positions 338 to 795 of the family's 1533-position model. Lineage: Bacteria; Bacillati; Bacillota; Tissierellia. The record is from RNAcentral.